RNAcentral lists this unclassified non-coding RNA (209 nucleotides) under root metagenome. RNAcentral describes it as "partial contains small subunit ribosomal RNA, internal transcribed spacer 1, and 5.8S ribosomal RNA". The record is from RNAcentral.
UCUCCGUUGGUGAACCAGCGGAGGGAUCAUUACCGAGUUAUUCAACUCAUCAACCCUGUGAACAUACCUAAACGUUGCUUCGGCGGGAACAGACGGCCCCGUGAAACGGGCCGCCCCCGCCAGAGGACCCCUAACUCUGUUUCUAUAUGUAACUUCUGAGUAAAACCAUAAAUAAAUCAAAACUUUCAACAACGGAUCUCUUGGUUCUG